CUUAUUUUGUUGCUCAGAACACCUUACUACUGUUAAUAGUUAGGAGUUUUAUAUUUUACUUUUCUUUGACAGAAAAGAAAGAAAUGCAUUUCUCUAAAAUGUCGACAAACCCAAGGGAGGCUGCCCUUGUCUGUGCUGCCUUUUGCACUCAGUGGAACACAGCAGAAGUGAGAGGCCUUUGAAAUGCAGCACAGUGUCCGGUGCCUAAAGCCGAAGUUAAAUGAAAAAAACACCCCCAAUUCCAUAAGUUCAAGCUUGUUUAGGAAAAGAGAAAAGCAAGUUUCAUAGGUCAUUCCAAUGUGCAGCCAGGUUUGAGAAUCAAUGUUAUAGACCAGUGGCUCUUAAACGUGAAUGUGUGUCAGAGUCACCUGGAGAGCUUGUUAAAACACAGAUUCUGGGCCCCGCCUCCAGGAUUUUCUGGAGGCCCCGGCAUGAACCUCGUUGUUAUGAAUCUGAGCUGGGGGAAAAGAGGAGAAAAGGAAGAAGUGUGGAGAGAAUUCAGUAAUAUCUGCCUCCCAACUUCAAAUGACAAAGGCUAGGCUGGAACCAAAGUUAUUCUUCUCUAG
This is a long non-coding RNA of Heterocephalus glaber (naked mole-rat), 566 nucleotides long. NCBI's taxonomy places the organism in Eukaryota, Metazoa, Chordata, Mammalia, Rodentia, Bathyergidae. The record is from Ensembl.